CCUACGGGAGGCAGCAGUAGGGAAUAUUGCUCAAUGGGGGAAACCCUGAAGCAGCAACGCCGCGUGGAGGAUGAAGGUUUUCGGAGUGUAAACUCCUUUUGUUAGAGAAGAUAAUGACGGUAUCUAACGAAUAAGCACCGGCUAACUCCGUGCCAGCAGCCGCGGUAAUACGGAUGGUGCAAGCGUUACUCGGAAUCACUGGGCGUAAAGAGCGCGUAGGCGGGAUAGCAAGUCAGAUGUGAAAUCCUAUGGCUUAACCAUAGAACUGCAUUUGAAACUGUUAUUCUAGAGUAUGGGAGAGGUAGGUGGAAUUCUUGGUGUAGGGGUAAAAUCCGUAGAGAUCAAGAGGAAUACUCAUUGCGAAGGCGACCUGCUAGACCAUAACUGACGCUGAUGCGCGAAAGCGUGGGGAGCAAACAGGAUUAGAUACCCCAGUAGUC
RNAcentral lists this ribosomal RNA (440 nucleotides) under uncultured bacterium. RNAcentral describes it as "partial 16S ribosomal RNA". It matches the Rfam family "Bacterial small subunit ribosomal RNA", at positions 338 to 795 of the family's 1533-position model. The record is from RNAcentral.